RNAcentral lists this small RNA (796 nucleotides) under Pan troglodytes (chimpanzee). RNAcentral's name for it is "processed transcript". Lineage: Eukaryota; Metazoa; Chordata; Mammalia; Primates; Hominidae. The record is from RNAcentral.
CUCUGGAGGCGGGAUCUGGGCGGGCAGUCGAGAGACCAGGCCCAAUGGAAAAGAAAAGCCUGAGCGCUCGCGUCCCCACAGGUCGCCAGAAACUUGGCGGAGCGAGCCAAGGGCGGAGUUUGAGAAAGGGGCUGCGUCCAAUGAGUGGAGCGAAGCGAAAUAUUAAAAAGGGAGCCGUUCCCCGCUCUAUCCCCAAUCUAGCGGAGGUAAAGAAGAAAGGCAAAAUGAAGAAGCUCGGCCAAGCAAUGGAAGAAGACCUAAUCGUGGGACUGCAAGGGAUGGAGCUGAACCUUGAGGCUGAAGCACUGGCUGGCACUGGCUUGGUGUUGGAUGAGCAGCUAAAUGAAUUCCAUUGCCUCUGGGAUGACAGCUUCCCGGAAGGCCCUGAGCGGCUCCAUGCCAUCAAGGAGCAACUGAUCCAGGAGGGCCUCCUAGAUCGCUGCGUGUCCUUUCAGGCCCGGUUUGCUGAAAAGGAAGAGCUGAUGUUGGUUCACAGCCUAGAAUAUAUUGAUCUGAUGGAAACAACCCAGUACAUGAAUGAGGGAGAACUCCGUGUCCUAGCAGACACCUACGACUCAGUUUAUCUGCAUCCGAACUCAUACUCCUGUGCCUGCCUGGCCUCAGGCUCUGUCCUCAGGCUGGUGGAUGCGGUCCUGGGGGCUGAGAUCCGGAAUGGCAUGGCCAUCAUUAGGCCUCCUGGACAUCACGCCCAGCACAGUCUUAUGGAUGGCUAUUGCAUGUUCAACCACGUGGCUGUGGCAGCCCGCUAUGCUCAACAGAAACACCGCAUCCGGAG